UUUCCGUAGGUGAACCUGCGGAAGGAUCAUUACCGAGUUGAUUCGGGCUCCGGCCCGAUCCUCCCACCCUUUGUGUACCUACCUCUGUUGCUUUGGCGGGCCGCGGUCCUCCGCGGCCGGCCCCCCUCCCCGGGGGGUGGCCAGCGCCCGCCAGAGGACCAUCAAACUCCAGUCAGUAAACGAUGCAGUCUGAAAAACAUUUAAUAAACUAAAACUUUCAACAACGGAUCUCUUGGUUCUGGCAUCGAUGAAGAACGCAGCGAAAUGCGAUAAGUAAUGUGAAUUGCAGAAUUCAGUGAAUCAUCGAAUCUUUGAACGCACAUUGCGCCCUUUGGUAUUCCGAAGGGCAUGCCUGUUCGAGCGUCAUUACAACCCUCAAGCUCUGCUUGGUAUUGGGCACCGUCCUUUGCGGGCGCGCCUCAAAGACCUCGGCGGUGGCGUCUUGCCUCAAGCGUAGUAGAACAUACAUCUCGCUUCGGAGCGCAGGGCGUCGCCCGCCGGACGAACCUUCUGAACUUUUCUCAAGGUUGACCUCGGAUCAGGUAGGGAUACCCGCUGAACUUAA
RNAcentral lists this ribosomal RNA (565 nucleotides) under Botryosphaeria dothidea. RNAcentral's name for it is "eukaryotic LSU rRNA". The stretch from base 213 to 366 matches the Rfam family "5.8S ribosomal RNA". Lineage: Eukaryota; Fungi; Ascomycota; Dothideomycetes; Botryosphaeriales; Botryosphaeriaceae. The record is from RNAcentral.